CCUACGGGCGGCAGCAGUGAGGAAUAUUGGUCACUGGACGAGAGUCUGAACCAGCCAAGUAGCGUGAAGGAUGACUGCCCUAUGGGUUGUAAACUUCUUUUAUAUGGGACUAAAAUGUUCCACGUGUGGGAUUUUGUAUGUACCAUAUGAAUAAGGAUCGGCUAACUCCGUGCCAGCAGCCGCGGUAAUACGGAGGAUCCGAGCGUUAUCCGGAUUUAUUGGGUUUAAAGGGAGCGUAGGUGGAUUGUUAAGUCAGUUGUGAAAGUUUGCGGCUCAACCGUAAAAUUGCAGUUGAAACUGGCAGUCUUGAGUACAGUAGAGGUGGGCGGAAUUCGUGGUGUAGCGGUGAAAUGCUUAGAUAUCACGAAGAACUCCGAUUGCGAAGGCAGUUCACUGGACUGCAACUGACACUGAGGCUCGAAAGUGUGGGUAUCAAACAGGAUUAGAUACCCGUGUAGUC
Molecule: ribosomal RNA, 460 nt
Filed under: uncultured bacterium
Lineage: Bacteria
Description: partial 16S ribosomal RNA
Rfam family: Bacterial small subunit ribosomal RNA
Source: RNAcentral